RNAcentral lists this ribosomal RNA (356 nucleotides) under Mycobacterium tuberculosis. RNAcentral describes it as "partial 23S ribosomal RNA". It matches the Rfam family "Bacterial large subunit ribosomal RNA", at positions 980 to 1337 of the family's 2925-position model. Lineage: Bacteria; Bacillati; Actinomycetota; Actinomycetes; Mycobacteriales; Mycobacteriaceae. The record is from RNAcentral.
GGAGACACACGGCGGGGGCUAACGUGCGUCGUGCAGAGGGAGCCGACCCAGACCCACAGCUAAGGUCCCAAAUUUUGUGCUAAGUGGAAAACCAUGUGGAAAGGCACAGACAGCCAGGAGGUUGGCUUAGAAGCAGCCACCCUUUAAAGAAAGCGUAAUAGCUCACUGGUCGAGUCGGUCUGCGGGGAAGAUUUAACGGGGCUAAGCACAGAACCGAAGCUUGGGGUGCAUACUUUGUAUGCGCGGUAGAGGAGCGUUCCGUAAGCCGUUGAAGGUGGAUUGAGAAGUCUGCUGGAGGUAUCGGAAGUGCGAAUGCCGACAUGAGUAACGAUAAUGCGGGUGAAAAACCCGCACGC